This 253-nucleotide ribosomal RNA is filed under the name uncultured bacterium. RNAcentral's name for it is "partial 16S ribosomal RNA". It matches the Rfam family "Bacterial small subunit ribosomal RNA", at positions 524 to 776 of the family's 1533-position model. The record is from RNAcentral.
UACGGGGGGUGCGAGCGUUGUCCGGAAUUACUGGGCGUAAAGGGCGCGUAGGCGGUGUGUCAAGUCAGGCGUGAAAGCCCCGGGCUCAACCUGGGAACAGCGCUUGAGACUGGCACGCUCGAGUUCGGGAGAGGAUGGUGGAAUUCCCAGUGUAGAGGUGAAAUUCGUAGAUAUUGGGAAGAACACCGAUGGCGAAGGCAGCCAUCUGGACCGACACUGACGCUGAGGCGCGAAAGCGUGGGGAGCAAACAGG